This 497-nucleotide ribosomal RNA is filed under the name uncultured bacterium. RNAcentral describes it as "partial 16S ribosomal RNA". It matches the Rfam family "Bacterial small subunit ribosomal RNA", at positions 28 to 507 of the family's 1533-position model. The record is from RNAcentral.
GAUGAACGCUGGCGGCGUGCCUAAUACAUGCAAGUCGAGCGAACAGACGAGGAGCUUGCUCCUCUGACGUUAGCGGCGGACGGGUGAGUAACACGUGGAUAACCUACCUAUAAGACUGGGAUAACUUCGGGAAACCGGAGCUAAUACCGGAUAAUAUAUUGAACCGCAUGGUUCAAUAGUGAAAGACGGUUUUGCUGUCACUUAUAGAUGGAUCCGCGCCGCAUUAGCUAGUUGGUAAGGUAACGGCUUACCAAGGCAACGAUGCGUAGCCGACCUGAGAGGGGGAUCGGCCACACUGGAAGUGAGACACGGUCCAGACUCCUACGGCAGGCAGCAGUAGGGAAUCGGCCGCAAUGGGCGAAAGCCUGACGGAGCAACGCCGCGUGAGUGAUGAAGGUCUUCGGAUCGUAAAACUCUGUUAUUAGGGAAGAACAAAUGUGUAAGUAACUAUGCACGUCUUGACGGUACCGAAUCAGAAAGCCACGGCUAACUACGUG